CCAAGAAGUUCAUUAAAACCCACAGCGGCAGGGCUUUGCUCUACUGUUCUCCACCCUAGUGAAAGAGACAUAUCCAGGGAUCAGAGAAGACAACCAUGAGGAAGUGAUAUGCUGAGAAAGAAUGAAGGAAAUGUGCAAAGUCCAGGAAAUGAGAGACGGGUAUAUUUCAGGAGCUGAAGGAAGUUCAGAAGUCCAGACUGGCUCAGAUGAAGAAUGCUUUAAAUUUACAUCAUACUUUCUGUCUAGAAAACUGAAAUCUACGGGGACCAGACAAAAAAAGGGGAAACCCAAGUUCAUAUGCAUGGCUAAACUAGCAAGGAACUCACAUAUUCUGCCUCCCAGAUCAGUUCUCUUUCCACUAAAUAUUUUGUUCUAUUUCUGCGUUUCUUUCAACAUCAAGCCUCUUUUUCCUCAUCCUACUUAUGGAAACCUGUUGAUGCAGAAAC
RNAcentral lists this long non-coding RNA (446 nucleotides) under Equus caballus (horse). RNAcentral describes it as "lncRNA (ENSECAG00000052500.1)". Lineage: Eukaryota; Metazoa; Chordata; Mammalia; Perissodactyla; Equidae. The record is from RNAcentral.